AUUGAACGCUGGCGUCAGGCUUAACACAUGCAAGUCGAGCGGGGGAAGGUAGCUUGCUACAGGACCUAGCGGCGGACGGGUGAGUAAUGCUUAGGAAUCUGUCUAUUAGUGGGGGACAACAUCUCGAACGGGAUGCUAAUACCGCAUACGUCCUACGGGAGAACGCAUGGGAUCUUCGUACCUUGCGCUAAUAGAUGAGCCUAAGUCGGAUUAGCUGGGUGGUGGGGUAAAGGCCUAGCAAGGCGACGAUCUGUAGCGGGUCUGAGAGGAUGAUCCGCCACACUGGGACGGAGACACGGCCCAGACUCCUACGGGAGGCAGCAGUGGGGAAUAUUGGACAAGGGGGGGAACCCUGAGCCAGCCAGGCCGCGUGUGUGAAGAAGGCCUUAUGGUUGUAAAGCACUUUAAGCGAGGAGGAGGCUACUCUAGUUAAUACCUAGGGAUAGUGGACGUUGCUCGCAGAAUAAGCACCGGCUAACUCUGUGCCAGCCGCCGCCGUAA
RNAcentral lists this ribosomal RNA (501 nucleotides) under uncultured bacterium. RNAcentral's name for it is "partial 16S ribosomal RNA". It matches the Rfam family "Bacterial small subunit ribosomal RNA", at positions 30 to 523 of the family's 1533-position model. The record is from RNAcentral.